This is a long non-coding RNA of Anolis carolinensis (green anole), 905 nucleotides long. RefSeq lists it as uncharacterized. The transcript has 2 exons. The record is from RefSeq and is a predicted model, not a curated record. Lineage: Eukaryota; Metazoa; Chordata; Lepidosauria; Squamata; Anolidae.
AGCCUAUCUGUGGCACUGUUUACACAAAAUCUUUAAAAUAUUUACAUUUGUAAUUAGUUAAUACAUUAACCAGUGGAUUUAGUGAAUUGAAGGACCUCUAGGGACCUCUUUGGAAAGAACCAACCUCUUAUCAAAAUACAAAGAAGAAGGAAAAAAAGUCAAGCUGAACUCUCUUGCUGAUGAAAGAAGACAUAAUCCAGCAGCAUGGAUAAUGUUCCUUCAUGGAGACCGAAGUUUUGAGAAGCAGAGAGCACAGGUGCACAUCUUGGCAGGUAAAUGGGAAAAGAACCCCAUUCUUCAGUGGCUGUUGAGCCAUGAAUACUGCAGAUUCUGGAAGUAGUUCAAGGCCAGCUCCUGUGGUUUUGAAAGCUUCUUCCUGGCCUUAACCCCCAGGGCCAGUCUAAAUCAGCUAUUCUGGAUCAGCUGCAUGUGCACCCCAGAAGUCAAGAGUUGGAUCUCCCCAAAAGCCUUUGCUCUAUGCUGAGAAUAGCUCACGAGCCAUAGUGUCAUAGCUUUCACUCCAUGAUUUUUCUGAUCUCUUGCACUAACAUCCUGUGCUGCCUGCCUAUUACUUUGUGGUUUUAAAUGCUGAAUACCAGACAUAAUGUGUUUAAUGACUGGCAGUUCUUGCUGCAGGAAGAGCACUCCACUCUCCUCCAGAAAGCGAAGUUCAAAGGCAGAUGUUCUGCAAGUGUUUGGGGAGCAGGCAAUCGAAAUUAAUGACUUUGCCAUUUACCAUUGUGAGGCCGGUGAUAAUGCACCUCAAAGACUGAAGAUUAUCCAUGAUGAUUUCCCCAGUCAGAGGAGAAAAGUCUUCUGAACAGCUCCAUUCCACUAGAAAACAAAAUAAACAGUGGGAAGGUAAUUCAGGUAUCAGCAUCCAAUAAAGAAACAUUUGCAUUUCA